UACGUAGGUGGCAAGCGUUGUCCGGAAUUAUUGGGCGUAAAGCGCGCGCAGGUGGUUCCUUAAGUCUGAUGUGAAAGCCCACGGUUCAACCGUGGAGGGUCAUUGGAAACUGGGGAACUUGAGUGCAGAAGAGGAAGGUGGAAUUCCAAGUGUAGCGGUGAAAUGCGUAGAGAUUUGGAGGAACACCAGUGGCGAAGGCGACUUUCUGGUCUGUAACUGACACUGAGGCGCGAAAGCGUGGGGAGCAAACAGG
This 253-nucleotide ribosomal RNA is filed under the name uncultured bacterium. RNAcentral describes it as "partial 16S ribosomal RNA". It matches the Rfam family "Bacterial small subunit ribosomal RNA", at positions 524 to 776 of the family's 1533-position model. The record is from RNAcentral.